AGGCGGACAUGUGGUCGCCGCAUGGCUGGAAUCGGCCAUGGGGAGGAAAGUCCGGGCUCUCAUGAGGAAGGAUGAUCGUUAACGACGACCGGGGGUGACCCCAGGGAAAGUGCCACAGAAAACAAACCGCCCGGAACCUCGGUUCGGGGUAAGGGUGAAACGGUGGGGUAAGAGCCCACCGGGGGAAUGGUGACAGACCCCGCAUGGUAAACCCCAUCCAGAGCAAGAUCGAACAAAAGGUGCUGCUUUACGCGGCCGGGGCUCCUCGCCCGAAUCCCUUUGGGUAUGAUCGCUUGAGGCGGCGGGCAACCGUCGUCCUAGAUGAAUGACCACACCGGCGCAAUACGCCGCGACAAAACCCGGCUUACGGACGCUCUC
RNAcentral lists this RNase P RNA (378 nucleotides) under pig gut metagenome. Its description in RNAcentral is "Bacterial RNase P class A". It matches the Rfam family "Bacterial RNase P class A". From Rfam's summary of the family: Ribonuclease P (RNase P) is a ubiquitous endoribonuclease, found in archaea, bacteria and eukarya as well as chloroplasts and mitochondria. Its best characterised activity is the generation of mature 5'-ends of tRNAs by cleaving the 5'-leader elements of precursor-tRNAs. The record is from RNAcentral.